Molecule: ribosomal RNA, 253 nt
Filed under: uncultured bacterium
Lineage: Bacteria
Description: partial 16S ribosomal RNA
Rfam family: Bacterial small subunit ribosomal RNA
Source: RNAcentral
UACGUAGGGUGCGAGCGUUGUCCGGAAUUAUUGGGCGUAAAGGGCUCGUAGGCGGUCUGUUGCGUCGGAAGUGAAAACUCAGGGCUCAACCCUGAGCCUGCAGUCGAUACGGGCAGGCUAGAGUCCGGCAGGGGAGACUGGAAUUCCUGGUGUAGCGGUGAAAUGCGCAGAUAUCAGGAGGAGCACCGGUGGCGAAGGCGGGUCUCUGGGCCGGAACUGACGCUGAGGAGCGAAAGCGUGGGGAGCGAACAGG